RNAcentral lists this long non-coding RNA (284 nucleotides) under Olea europaea (common olive). Its description in RNAcentral is "long non-coding RNA (OEUR_LNC001061)". The record is from RNAcentral. Lineage: Eukaryota; Viridiplantae; Streptophyta; Magnoliopsida; Lamiales; Oleaceae.
UUUCGUCAACCCUAACAACAUCGUUUUUAGGAUAUUCCCAUGUCUUUCCAUUCAACAUCUCCAUUUUCACACGCAAUCUCAAUUGGUCGACAAAAUUGAUCCGUCUCACAACCACACUUACCGAAGUAAGCCGCCUCAUCGGAAAACCUGGGCUUUCAGCAUCGGAGUUCACUUAAGGAUAGAAGUUGGAUUAACAUCUAGGAAAAGGAACGGUUGCUCAAAGACACCUUUACUCAGAUGGAAGUUUGACGAAGAUAAGAACAACGAUGCUUCUACUAAAGAGG